RNAcentral lists this small RNA (255 nucleotides) under Oryza sativa Japonica Group (Japanese rice). Its description in RNAcentral is "sRNA Os02g0135950". The record is from RNAcentral. Lineage: Eukaryota; Viridiplantae; Streptophyta; Magnoliopsida; Poales; Poaceae.
AUUAAUUUACAACAAGUAUAUUGUUCUGCAUUGAACCUUCGCCAUCAAUUGGGUACUCCAGUGACAGCCUCCACUCUCCAUCAACCAAGAAUUUGAUCUCAUACCUUCCAGGUCUAAGAUUCAGAGUUGCAGAGAAUCUUGCUUGGUAACCUGAAUACUCCAUGGACAUUGCCUCUCCCUGGGACCAGCCAUCGAAGGAGCCCAUAAUUUGUACAUUCUGAUGUGCAGACAAAAAACCAAUGAAGAACAAUAGAG